Molecule: transfer RNA, 365 nt
Filed under: uncultured Microcystis sp.
Lineage: Bacteria; Bacillati; Cyanobacteriota; Cyanophyceae; Chroococcales; Microcystaceae
Description: partial 16S-23S ribosomal RNA intergenic spacer
Rfam family: tRNA (bases 136-209)
Source: RNAcentral
AAAGGGAGACCUAAUUCAGGUAUGGGACGAAAAAAAAGUAGUCCCUACCAAGAAUCAAUCCCAAAAGGUCGGAGCGAGGCAAAAUUGGCUUUCAAACUAGGUUCUGGGUUCACACAAGACCUGAAUCAGGAACAAGGGCUAUUAGCUCAGGUGGUUAGAGCGCACCCCUGAUAAGGGUGAGGUCCCUGGUUCGAGUCCAGGAUGGCCCACCUGUACAGGUGGCAAAAAGAAAGAAAAGAAGCGAGGAAUCAGCACCUUAUCUUACUUAUAUAGUAAGAGAGAAUGCUGGCUCUGAGUUCAGAGUCCAGAGGAACCUUGAAAACUGCAUAGAGCUAGGUGAAAAAGCCAAAAAAGAAGACCGCAAG